This is a long non-coding RNA of Mya arenaria, 767 nucleotides long. RefSeq lists it as uncharacterized. The record is from RefSeq and is a predicted model, not a curated record. The transcript has 3 exons. NCBI's taxonomy places the organism in Eukaryota, Metazoa, Mollusca, Bivalvia, Myida, Myidae.
UAGCCGUUCAACGAGAACAUACACAUGAUUCAGGACACGUGAAUCAAGCAAACGAUCAAGGAAAAGACAAUACCAGUAGCAGAAUUAAUCUGAAGGCCAGCGCAGGAAACAUCAGCUACACCACGUUACAAAUGUAUGAGAACACAACGUUCAGAGAGCCAUACGAGCCUAUGCAGAUGGCGGGAGAUUCUUAAGCAUGUCAUAAUAUGUAUGUAUUUUUUUAAUUGUUUAAUUGUGUUGCAACCAUAUGAUUGUUCAGCUUUACUAUGAUUUACCAAACUCUGAAUUUUGCUCAGUUUCAGUUGUUGUUGUUUUUUUUAGACAAAACUAUGCCCAUAUGAGUAUCAGUUGUAAUAACAAUGUUCAAAGAGGCUUAAACAAACAGAAUCAUGAGUAAAACCAAUUGAAUAUGCUUUGAAAACUGAUAGAUGGAACCAGAUCUGCAUCAACUUAAAUCAUUAAAAUGUACACACAUUGAUAUAAACCUCAUUGCAAAAAUCUUCUUUUUAAAUAUAAAAAAUGGGAAUAAUUUACGCAUUGCACACCUUUUUCCAACAAAAAUAGACAAUUUUAAAUAAAGAUCUAGAAAACAUGUUUAACAUCAUUUAUAAGAAUUAACAGCAUACAUACGAAAGAGUAAAUGGGAAAUGUAUUUGUUUCAAUCAACACAUUGAACUUCAGAUACGUGGUUUUGAAUGUUGUUGACAUUAAUUCUAUUCACGUAUUUAAUCAUGUAUCAAUAUACGUGUAUUAUUACCGACACAAAU